RNAcentral lists this ribosomal RNA (809 nucleotides) under uncultured Pelagibacteraceae bacterium. RNAcentral describes it as "bacterial SSU rRNA". It matches the Rfam family "Bacterial small subunit ribosomal RNA", at positions 33 to 890 of the family's 1533-position model. The record is from RNAcentral. Lineage: Bacteria; Pseudomonadati; Pseudomonadota; Alphaproteobacteria; Candidatus Pelagibacterales; Candidatus Pelagibacteraceae.
ACGCUGGCGGCACGCCUAACACAUGCAAGUCGAACGAAGUAGCAAUACUUAGUGGCAGACGGGUGAGUAACAUGUAGGUAUCUGCCCUUUGGCCUGGAAUAACACGAGGAAACUUGUGCUAAUACCGGAUAAGUCUUUACGGAGAAAGCUUUAUGCACCAUUGGAUGAGCCUGCACUUGAUUAGUUUGUUGGUGGGGUAAUGGCCUACCAAGACUUUGAUCAAUAGCUGAUUUGAGAGGAUGAUCAGCCACAUUGGGACUGAGACACGGCCCAAACUCCUACGGGAGGCAGCAGUGGGGAAUCUUGCACAAUGGAGGAAACUCUGAUGCAGCGAUGCCGCGUGAGUGAAGAAGGCCCUUGGGUUGUAAAGCUCUUUCGUCGGGGAAGAAAAUGACUGUACCCGAAUAAGAAGGUCCGGCUAACUUCGUGCCAGCAGCCGCGGUAAUACGAAGGGACCUAGCGUAGUUCGGAAUUACUGGGCUUAAAGAGUUCGUAGGUGGUUGAAAAAGUUGGUGGUGAAAUCCCAGAGCUUAACUCUGGAACUGCCAUCAAAACUUUUCAGCUAGAGUUUGAUAGAGGAAAGCAGAAUUUCUAGUGUAGAGGUGAAAUUCGUAGAUAUUAGAAAGAAUACCAAUUGCGAAGGCAGCUUUCUGGAUCAUUACUGACACUGAGGAACGAAAGCAUGGGUAGCGAAGAGGAUUAGAUACCCUCGUAGUCCAUGCCGUAAACGAUGUGUGUUAGACGUUGGAAAUUUAUUUUCAGUGUCGCAGCGAAAGCGAUAAACACACCGCCUGGGGAGUACGACCGCA